UACAGAGACUGCAAGCGUUGUUCGGAUUCACUGGGCGUAAAGGGCGCGUAGGCGGCCUGGCAAGUCGGGGGUGAAAGCCUGUGGCUCAACCACAGAAUGGCCUUCGAUACUGCCGGGCUAGAGUCCGGAAGAGGAGAGUGGAAUUCCUGGUGUAGCGGUGAAAUGCGCAGAUAUCAGGAAGAACACCCGUGGCUAAGGCGGCUCUCUAGUACGGUACUGACGCUGAGACGCGAAAGCGUGGGGAGCGAACAGG
Molecule: ribosomal RNA, 253 nt
Filed under: uncultured bacterium
Lineage: Bacteria
Description: partial 16S ribosomal RNA
Rfam family: Bacterial small subunit ribosomal RNA
Source: RNAcentral